UGCCUACGCUGCUACUGCUGCUCCGAGUGGUGGGAGCGCCUGGUGCGACCCCGAGAUAGGUAGUGGGCCGCUUGGGGAAAGGCCUUCAAGGGUGUCCUUGGGUCCCCAUCCAGCUUCCGAGGCGCACGCCAGGCUCCGCGCGGAGACGUCAGGGUCUCUGAAGCAGGCAUAGCGACAUACAUGGAGCCCGAACAUAGUUCCAGCGGACUGGGUUGGACUGGUGCCAGAUGUGCCGCGAGGGUGGGGCACAUUCUAUUGCCAGCAGUAACCAGGACCCAGCCCCCGCUACUCUUCGGGUGCCAAGCGCCUAAACUCGGCUGAUCCUGUUGCCGAUCCAACACGGGAUGGGCUCUGGAGUCUCCCGAAAGGGGGCCACCUUUGCUUAGCUCCUCAUUUGUGACAGCCUCCAGCAGCUUUCAAGAAAGGUACCUGGGGAAAACUCCCUAACUUACACCCCUUUCUGCACUCCCGUCUCCCCUGGCUGCUGCCACAGCAUCAACAUCUCGUCGUAAAGGUUCCGGAAGUCAGUGGGAGGAAAGGGCCCAGCAGAGGGAAAGACUGUGUCAAGGCUGGGAGUGUCAUAAUAGCAGGUAGCAGCACUUCCAGGGUUAUUGUUAGUGUUCAUAUGCCAUUAAGGGGCACACAGCGGUCUUUUUUCUUCCUUCCUUCCUUUCUUCCUUCCUUCCUUCCUUCCUUUUUUUCUUUUAUUUUUGGCAGGUUCUCACUAUGCAGCCUUGGCUGACUUGGGAUGUUCACCUAUAGACCAAGCUGGUCUCAAACUCAUAGAGGUAUGUCUGCCUACACCUGAGAUUAAGGCAUGCACUACAGUGUAUCGGAAAACCUUUCUUCAUAACAGAUGGAGAAACCAAGGCACACAGAGGUUAAGUGCCGCACAACAGUGGAACUGAAGAGCUGGAGGUUAGCAGAGGCUGCAGGAGGGGCUUCCAGGAGACCAUAAAGGGCCCUGCAGGUGGCACUACCUGAAGGUUUGGGCCAGGCAUGGAUUCUCAGUGUGGAUUCAAAAUAAAAAUCCAAAUAAAUGUAUAAUGCUCACCAAAA
This is a long non-coding RNA of Mesocricetus auratus (golden hamster), 1059 nucleotides long. RefSeq lists it as uncharacterized. The transcript is spliced from 2 exons. Lineage: Eukaryota; Metazoa; Chordata; Mammalia; Rodentia; Cricetidae. The record is from RefSeq and is a predicted model, not a curated record.